Molecule: transfer RNA, 68 nt
Filed under: Scutiger ningshanensis (Ningshan alpine toad)
Lineage: Eukaryota; Metazoa; Chordata; Amphibia; Anura; Megophryidae
Description: tRNA-Asp
Source: RNAcentral
GAAGUGUUAGUAAAAUAUUACAUUAUCUUGUCAAGAUAAUAUCACGAGUGAAAAUCUUGUACAUUUCU